GAUGAACGCUGGCGGCGUGCCUAAUACAUGCAAGUCGAGCGAACAGACGAGGAGCUUGCUCCUCUGACGUUAGCGGCGGACGGGUGAGUAACAAGUGGAUAACCUACCUAUAAGACUGGGAUAACUUCGGGAAACCGGAGCUAAUACCGGAUAAUAUAUUGAACCGCAUGGUUCAAUAGUGGAAGACGGUUUUGCUGUCACUUAUAGAUGGCUCCGCGCCGCAUUAGCGAGUUGGUAAGGUAACGGCUUACCAAGGCAACGAUGCGUAGCCGACCUGAGAGGGUGAGCGGCCACACUGGGACUGAGCCACGGUCCAGAGUCCUACGGGAGGCCGCAGUACGGACGCUUCCGCAAUGGGCGAAAGCCUGACGGAGCAACGCAGCGUGAGUGCUGAAGGUCUUCGGAUCGUAAAACUCUCUUAUGAGGGAAGAACAAUUGUGUAAGUAAAUAUGCACGUCUUGACGGUACCUAAUCAGAAAGCCACGGCUAACUACGUG
This 497-nucleotide ribosomal RNA is filed under the name uncultured bacterium. RNAcentral's name for it is "partial 16S ribosomal RNA". It matches the Rfam family "Bacterial small subunit ribosomal RNA", at positions 28 to 507 of the family's 1533-position model. The record is from RNAcentral.